Long non-coding RNA from Homo sapiens (human), 1272 nucleotides. Ensembl annotates it as long intergenic non-protein coding RNA 1969. NCBI's taxonomy places the organism in Eukaryota, Metazoa, Chordata, Mammalia, Primates, Hominidae. The record is from Ensembl.
AGGUACCUGCGGGAGGAGGGCUGUGGUCAAAGGUGGAGGAGCAGCUGAGAGGCUGCUAUACUUGCCCAGAUUAGAAAACUGAGGCCCAGAGAAGGAAAGUAGCUGCCAGAGGUCACACAGCUAGGAUUGAGGGAUCAGAGAGUUCCUCCUCCCCCACAAGCUGGCACAUGUGGAUAUUGGCUCUGUUUUGCCUUUGACCCCUAGUGAAAGAAAAUACUGAGACGGAGUCUCGCUCUGUCGCCCAGGUUGGAGUGAAGCGGCUAGAUCUCAGCUCACUGCAACCUCUGCCUCCCAGGUUUAAGCAAUUCUCCUGUCUCAGCCUCCAGAGUAGCUGGGACUACAGGCGCAUGCCACCAUGCCCUACUAAUUUUUUGUAUUUUUAGGAGAGACAGGCCUUCACCAUGUUGGUCAAGCUGGUCUCGAACUCCUGACCUCAGGUGACCCACCGGCUUCAGCCUCCCAAAGUGCUGGGAUUACAGGCAUGAGCCACCGCGCCCAGCCUCAUAUCUAUCUUUAUCACUCCAUUUCAGAUCUUCUUCCAUAUAUGGCUCUGUGUGUCUCCUGUCCUUCCCUGUCUCCUCACUGCUUUUCAGCUGGUAGACCCCUGUGGGGACAACAGAUCAGAGCUUGGUCACCAAUAUGGACAUCUAGGUCUGAGCAGGGCCCACUCCCCGGGGGCGCAUCAGCUCCAUCCCGGCACCCUUUACACUGGCCUUCUCUUCACAAAGGACCACAGGUCAUCCUCAAGCCUUCCUCCCAGGCUAUCCUUGUCCCUGAAUACUAAUGUCUAAAGGUCAGCCCAGCUACCAGCAGUGUGCAUGUGAUGUGUCCCAUCUCCCCUUCGGAUUGGAGGAAGAAGCUGUGUCCCUCCCAUCAGACAGACGGUCUCCUUAAAGAUUCUCCUGGUCUCCAGCUUGGGCUCUGCUGGAAAGAAGAGGAAGUAUUUAGCAAGGGUGAAGAUGGGUUCUUACUUCCCUGAGGCAACCAGAGAUAAGAAAAGACCAGAAUAUGAAUAUCCAGCAUUCCACAAAGAAUCCUACAGGCAGGGAUAUUGCCCAAUCACCAGUGCCUCGCAUCCCAGUUCUAUCCAAGAUCCAAGCUUGAUAUCCUCCUGAAAGACUUCCUGAAUCAGGUCACCAACAUGGACAUCUGAACUUCCAGAAUCAGGUCACCGUCUUUCUUCUCAUCUCUGGAUGUAUUUGGAGCUCAUUUGUCUGACGGUUUUUGAAUGCUAUCUUUUAAAAAUAAACUUUUACAAUUUGGGUUUAAUAA